CCUACGGGAGGCAGCAGUGGGGAAUAUUGGGCAAUGGGCGCAAGCCUGACCCAGCAACGCCGCGUGAAGGAAGAAGGCUUUCUGGUUGUAAACUUCUUUUCUCAGGGACGAAGAAAGUGACGGUACCUGAGGAAUAAGCCACGGCUAACUACGUGCCAGCAGCCGCGGUAAUACGUAGGUGGCAAGCGUUAUCCGGAUUUACUGGGUGUAAAGGGCGUGUAGGCGGGAAAGCAAGUCAGAUGUGAAAACCAUGGGCUCAACCUGUGACCUGCAUUUGAAACUGUUUUUCUUGAGUACAGGAGAGGCAGACGGAAUUCCUAGUGUAGCGGUGAAAUGCGUAGAUAUUAGGAAGAACACCAGUGGCGAAGGCGGUCUGCUGGACAGCAACUGACGCUGAGGCGCGAAAGCGUGGGGAGCAAACAGGAUUAGAUACCCCAGUAGUC
This 443-nucleotide ribosomal RNA is filed under the name uncultured bacterium. RNAcentral describes it as "partial 16S ribosomal RNA". It matches the Rfam family "Bacterial small subunit ribosomal RNA", at positions 338 to 795 of the family's 1533-position model. The record is from RNAcentral.